RNAcentral lists this ribosomal RNA (581 nucleotides) under uncultured bacterium. Its description in RNAcentral is "bacterial SSU rRNA". It matches the Rfam family "Bacterial small subunit ribosomal RNA", at positions 102 to 679 of the family's 1533-position model. The record is from RNAcentral.
ACGGGUGAGUAAUGUCUGGGAAAUUGCCUGAUGGAGGGGGAUAACUACUGGAAACGGUAGCUAAUACCGCAUAACGUCGCAAGACCAAAGAGGGGGACCUUCGGGCCUCUUGCCAUCAGAUGUGCCCAGAUGGGAUUAGCUAGUAGGUGGGGUAACGGCUCACCUAGGCGACGAUCCCUAGCUGGUCUGAGAGGAUGACCAGCCACACUGGAACUGAGACACGGUCCAGACCCCUACGGGAGGCAGCAGUGGGGAAUAUUGCACAAUGGGCGCAAGCCUGAUGCAGCCAUGCCGCGUGUGUGAAGAAGGCCUUCGGGUUGUAAAGCACUUUCAGCGGGGAGGAAGGGAGUAAGGUUAAUAACCUUGUUCAUUGACGUUACCCGCAGAAGAAGCACCGGCUAACUCCGUGCCAGCAGCCGCGGUAAUACGGAGGGUGCAAGCGUUAAUCGGAAUUACUGGGCGUAAAGCGCACGCAGGCGGUCUGUCAAGUCGGAUGUGAAAUCCCCGGGCUCAACUUGGGAACUGCAUCCGAAACUGGCAGGCUUGAGUCUCGUAGAGGGAGGUAGAAUUCCAGGUGUAGC